UCACCGGCCAGCCAGCUAGCCGCUAGCCAUGGCCGCCGGUUCCGAAGCUCUUCUUGACGCCACCGCGCUCUCCCUCUCCCUCGCGCUGCCGACGACGACGCCGGCGCCCGGCCUGGUGGCGGGGCUCAAGAUCAACAAGGAGGACUACCUCGCCAUCUGCCUCGCCGCGCUCGCCGGUACCCGAGGAACCGGCCUCAGCAACAAGGCGGUCGUCGCUGGGUUCGGCCUCCCGCAGCACCAGGGACAGGGACACGGCAAUAAUAAUAAUAAGCAGCAGCAGUGGUGCCCACCGCCGGCGGCGCUGGCGCACGAGGAGCAGCUCCGGUUCCGGUGCGCGGUGUGCGGGAAGGCCUUCGCGUCGUACCAGGCGCUCGGCGGCCACAAGUCCAGCCACCGCAAGCCGCCCACGCCGGAGCAGUACGCCGCCGCCGCGGCGGCGCAGCAGCAGGAGGCGGUUUCCGCGCCCGACUCCGAGGAGACGACGACGACGACGACGUCGUCGUCGGGAGGGACGACUUCUACCGGUGGGCCGCACCGGUGCACCAUCUGCCGGAAGGGGUUCGCCACGGGCCAGGCGCUCGGCGGCCACAAGCGCUGCCACUACUGGGACGGCACGUCGUCGGUGUCCGUCUCCAUGUCGGCGUCGGCGUCCGCUACGGGGUCGUCGUCGGCCGUCACCGUCAGGAACUUUGACCUCAACCUGAUGCCUGUGCCGGAGAACGCCGGCAUGAAGAGAUGGGUCGAGGAGGAGGAGGUGCAGAGUCCACUGCCCAUCAAGAAGCGCAGGAUCUUGGAUUAGUUUAACUCUCACUGCCUACUUUUGAGAUCGUGUGUCCAUAAAUCUCGGAUUCUCAGUUCAUGUAAAAAUGAUUGAUUUGUUCUUUUACACUAAUAUAAAUUAUUUGCUUUUUCUAUAGUAUAUAUACUAAAAGUGCCUACUUGCCCGUCUGUGUGCUCUAGAAGAUUUUUGGGAUCAAGAUCUUGAACUCUUCUCCUCUCCUCUUAAUAAUCGACACUUCAACUCCCGUGUCUCUCCGUAUUCUGAUUCAACUAAUUUGAUUAGUUGUUGACGACUUUUUAUUAUAAAAAACAACGGGAAGUCAUAACUCAAAUUUGGAAGACACCAAACUUGGACGAUGAAGUAUUUUCAGCCAAAAACAAACCACCGAUCGACUUCCAAUCGACGAAAAUCGAAAACAUUCUAACUAAUCAGAUCAGGCAUGAAAAUUUUCAAAGGGAUGUGGACAAGUACCGUGUAGCUAGGAAACACCUGCUGGUAUUUUACCAAACCACGUAACUUAACUAAGAACAACUCCAACUCCAACAGUUUUGCAAAUUUUGUUUGACAAAUAUUGUUAUUUGCCAACUCCCAAAACAAUAUGGGGAGGAAACAAAAAGGACAUCUCCAAGUGUUUGGUAAUUUUGACUUGGCAAAAGAUCAACGAAGAAGCAUCAAGUUGUCACCUUGCUAUAAAAGCACGCGCAUGCAGAAUGCCAAGCCUAUUCUAGGUGUGCAUAAAGGCCAAGAAAGGAGGAGAAUUUGCCAACUUGCUUAAAUGCCAAACCCAAUUGCCAAACUGUUGGAUAGGAGAUUUUGAGAGUUUUGGCAAAAAAAAACAAGAAUGCCAAACCUAUUUGCAAAACUGUUGAAGUUGCUCAUCAAUCGUGUGGAUAAUCUGCCAAGCGGUGUCAAGGAUCAAGUAUUCAGUCAUAUUUGAAUCUCUGACGGUUUAGGUCAACAAGAAGGACGAUUUAAUAAAACAGUUAUAGUGGUAUUUGUCUACCUGGAUUCACACUACUACAACAAAGCUUCAGAGGCAGCAACAUCAUCCACAAGAACUGAUUUAUUUAGAGGUGGCAAUAAUGUCCGUCUCUGAAUAAUCAUCUACUCCUAGAGCUUGUUGUGGGCUACAGUGUCCCCGUAAAUUAGAAAAAAGAAAACUGGCACCCUAUAGCCAAGAGUUUGUUGUCGAGCUCAUCAUUUUGGUGUCCUGGAGCCACCAUGGGGCAUGGAACUGGCCACUCCUCUGCCAAGCCCACCAUGCGAAGGUCCUCCAUCGUGAUCCUCAGCUCGAAUGAGAUGAUGAGCCCCUACUCACAAACCUCCCCAUCCUUGGCCUCAACUCGUUUGCCCUGUGAUUGAGGAGAGUGGGAGAAGGGGGUUGGUAGGAGAUGGAGGUGCCCUAAAUGAAGCAGAACCUAAAAGAGUGAAAAAGUUGAAGCCACCACUAGAGAGUGUGCGCCACUUCUAGAGUAGGGCAUAGGUUGUGUGGGCCACAUGCAUGCCACCGUUAGAGGAGGGCAGCAGCUACGUAGGCCACUUCUCCAAAGAGGCUGACAAGAAGAAAGGGGCCACACACUCCCAUCUCCUCUUCGAUAGAGAACACACAAUCACUUGUUGUGCCGUGUCAUGCUACAACUCUAGCAUCCUGUCACGCUCCAGACCUUUGCCAAGCCUGCUAGGAGAUUUCUCACAUUACUAUGGGUGGAAGGUUGGUCGGCACGGCCCCACGGCUCCCAGUCUCCUUGGUUGUCCAUGACCGUUGGUGCUAAGGUUGAGGUUGCUUAGGGAGUUUGUGGAGCUCUGUCGCUUGCCUGGCCUAAGUCAUUUUUUUCAAGGCCAUGAGGUUGUUCGGUUAUAGGGCAGCCUUGGGCCUCUUAGGCCUUUUGCACUAUCUAGAGGGUGUGCGCGAGUGCACUCGCUAGUGUAGCUCUCGAGCUCCUCACGAUUAAUGAAGUCAGUUCGGAAGUUGAUCGUAGUUUUAUGAUGCCAUCCAAGAGUUUAUGUGACCCCAGCCCACGUACUCAACAAGUGAGGUUAUGUGUUGCUGCUACUAGUUAGAGAUGAUUGAGGAGAGUAAGAGAAGGGCGUUGGUGGGAGAAGAAGGCGCCUCUUGUGAAGCUUAACUUAAAAGGGUGGAGAAGUUAGAAUAAAUAAAUAAAUAUGGAUCUUGACACAUCACAUCCCUAUGUGCACGUGCACCACAUGCCAUCACCAUGGGGAGGGCAUGUGCCACUACUAGAGUAGGGCAUAGGCUAUUAGGCUGCAUGGGCCACGGGCAUGACAACACCGAUGGAAGGCAUAGAUCAUCCACCUCUCAAUAGAGGAAUUGUGCUCACGUGCUUCCACUAGAUCUCCAUACGCGGUCUUGGAUCUCUACACUCUAUAUCAUCGAAGGAGAGGGUGUGUGAGGGGCUAAGACUGUGGGCCUCUACUAUAGGGAGGGGGCAUUAGUAAUGGCGAGGCACACGACGGAGGGGUUUGGUGGUUUCUUGAGAGUUUAGGUUGUUUUCUAGUAGUAGGUGUUUAGACCACCUCUAAAUUCAAAAUAAGACUUGAUUUACAAAUUUGACCUAUGAAUUGAUUUACAGAUGUGUUGGUCCAUAUAUACCUGCCGCUUUAAUUGAAAUUCUAAGUCCCUUAAAAUCACUUAUAUAAUGCAAAAUAAUAACUCCACGGUAGAAGUACGGCAUGCUUUAGAAUUUGGCGAGAAAUGGAUGGACGAGGAACUUCGUACACGUCAGCACAAACACACACAUAGUACAGUAUAUCUGUAGAAAGUCGGAACCGUGGAGCGCCGGCGGGCUGCUGCAAAAAUAAGGUCAAGUACACGCAGUCAAAAGGUGGUCCUGUUCAUUGACCGCACACACGGAUGCAUUGCAUGUCUCUAUCCUUCUUUCGUUUCGUCCGGAAAUGGCAAAAGGCUACUAGCACGCAGAAAUGCAAAAACACGUGUUGUAUUGUAUAGCCAGCCCCAGGUUAUAGAGAAGAGAACGGAUGAGUGUGCUACCCGGCCGGGGUCUCAAAUUUGCCAUUUCCGGGAAGCUGCAAGAGUGCCGUAGGACAGCGAAACAAGUCAUAUCUAUUCGCCACUUUUGCAUAUUGAUUGACCAAAUUAGGCGAUUGGUUCACUGUAUCGGCAUGCAUACAAAUCGUAGCUACUCCAGGAAUGUUAAACGUAUUGCAUGUAGAGUCUUGUUUAGUUCCCAAAAUAUUUUACAAAAUUUUUCAUAUUCCUCGUUAUAUUAAUUUUUACGACACAUGAAUGAAACACUAAAUAUAGAUAAAAGAAAUAACUAAUUAUACAGUUUAUCUUUAAUUUACGAGAUAAAUCUUUUAAAUCUAAUUAUUUUAUAGUUAGAUAAUAUUUGUCAAAUACAAAUAAAAAUAAUACUAUUUCUAUUUUGCAAUUUUUUUUGAAAUAAACAAGGCCAUGGUACCCUAUACUAUGGUAGUAAUGAUGAAAACGGUCGGAAACGGUCGAAAAACUCUAAAAUUGUUUUCUACUUUUACAUUUGAAAUACGAAAACGAAAACGGUAAAGUCGGACACGAAAACGAACAUGAACUUACGAAAUAUCGAGAAUUUCGAAAACGAACCAAUUCGAUCGGAUUUAUGUCGAACACGGUCAAUAUACAAAAACUCAAUACGAAAUACCGAUAUAGUACCAAGUGCAUGACUAAGUAUAUACAGGAUCAAGUUCAAGUGCAUAUAAUGAUUAAAAAGUGCAUGAUCCUUGGUCUUAGGUAUUUAAUACAAUAGUCCGCACAUAAAUACAAGUCUAGAAUAAGCAAUUAAUAGCUAGCAGAAACGCAACUAGCCACCAGUACAAAGAACACAGAUGCAUGGUGAGUAGUCUGUAAUUGGGCUGUGUGACCCUAUAGUUGAUAAAAUUCGGUUUAAACCAAAUUUUAAAUUUAAAAUAUUUCAAAUUAAAAGUAGAAAAGUAGAAAACGGUCGAAAAAUGUCAAAAUCGUUUUCUACUUUUACAUUUAAAAUACGAAAUAUCUAAAAUACGAAAACGAAACGAUAAAGUCAGACAAUAAAAUACAAAUUCGAUCCGAUCAAAUAUAGAGCGGUUCAGUUCGGUUCGAUAUUUUCGUUAGUAUAUGGGCAAGCUGGCUGCGCCGCGAACCAACGCAGCAACGGCCAACCGCCUGCAUGUUUGACUGGAUCGCGUGCGAUUGCCUACUACUGGUUUACUUGCUCCACCAACCAAAUCAUCACACGCCACCCAUCUCGUUAAUUUUGGACUUGUUUAGUUCCAUCAAAAUCUAAAAACUUUUUAAAAUUAUACAUCAUAGCUAAUCUUACGACACAUGCACAAAUGAUUCAAUAUUAAUAAAAUAAAUAACUAAUUAUACAGUUUAUCUAUAAUUUAUGAGACGAAUAUUUUAAAAUUUAGUUAGUCUAUAAUUAAAUAAUAAUUACAAAAUAAAACAAAAAUACUAUAUUAUCUAAAAACUUUUCACCUAACGAAACAAGCCCCCAAUGUCACCCUGGUCUGUCUUUGUCUGCCAGUUUUCCUGCUUAUAUAUUCACACGUACAAGCCGCCGCCUCCUUCCACAAACUCCAGCUAGCUCCAGCUCCAGCCUCCUGCUCAUCGCCGGCGGCUAACGUACGACGAACGCAAGAUCUCAAUCGAUCGAGCUAAAAGUCCAAGGUCACAACAGCUUGUUCUUCUCAUCGAUCAGCUUCAGCUGCUAGCUAGCCAUGGUGGAACAUCUCGUUAUUGACCCGACCGCGCUCUCCCUUGCGCUCCCGGCGGCACCGGCACCGGCACCGGCACCGGCGCUCAGCAAGGAGGACUACCUCGCCAUCUGCCUCGCCGCGCUCGCCGGCACCCGCAAGUUUGGGCUCGGCCGCGACCGGGAGCAGCAGCAGCCGACCAACAAGUGGUGCCCAACGACGCUCGCACCCGCGCAGCCGCAGGAGCUCCGGUUCCGGUGCGCCGUCUGCGG
Molecule: long non-coding RNA, 5742 nt
Filed under: Sorghum bicolor (sorghum)
Lineage: Eukaryota; Viridiplantae; Streptophyta; Magnoliopsida; Poales; Poaceae
Description: long non-coding RNA (SBIC_LNC001490)
Source: RNAcentral